AGAGCGAACGCUGGCGGCAGGCUUAACACAUGCAAGUCGAGCGCCCCGCAAGGGGAGCGGCAGACGGGAGAGUAACACGUGGGAACGUACCCUUUGGUUCGGAACAACCCAGGGAAACUUGGGCUAAUACCGGAUAAGUCCGUAAGGAGAAAGAUUUAUCGCCAAUGGAUCGGCCCGCGUCUGAUUAGCUAGUUGGUGAGGUAAUGGCUCACCAAGGCGACGAUCAGUAGCUGGUCUGAGAGGAUGAUCAGCCUCACUGGGACUGAGACACGGCCCAGACUCCUACGGGAGGCAGCAGUGGGGAAUAUUGGACAAUGGGCGCAAGCCUGAUCCAGCCAUGCCGCGUGGGUGAUGAAGGCCCUAGGGUUGUAAAGCCCUUUCGGCGGGGAAGAUAAUGACGGUACCCGCAGAAGAAGCCCCGGCUAACUCGUGCCAGCAGCCGC
RNAcentral lists this ribosomal RNA (443 nucleotides) under uncultured bacterium. RNAcentral describes it as "SSU rRNA". It matches the Rfam family "Bacterial small subunit ribosomal RNA", at positions 26 to 518 of the family's 1533-position model. The record is from RNAcentral.